This is a long non-coding RNA of Serinus canaria (Common canary), 414 nucleotides long. RefSeq lists it as uncharacterized. The transcript is spliced from 4 exons. The record is from RefSeq and is a predicted model, not a curated record. NCBI's taxonomy places the organism in Eukaryota, Metazoa, Chordata, Aves, Passeriformes, Fringillidae.
AGUCAAGAUCAAGUGGGCAUGGUGAGCAUCGAGUAGUUUACAGAAGCAGUUGUUAUUGCUGAGGUCUCAGUUUCUGGUGUAGCUCUAAGCAUCUACUCUUACUUUUUUUAUUUUAGGUGGUCCACUUGCCAUCUAUCCUGGCCGAGCAUGCCCAAUGCCAGGUGCUGUUGCCGCUCCAGGCGUGCCAAGGAACAGAGGAGAACAGGUAUCCUCUGGGCAGCCUCUGGAGUAGAAUCAGGAUUUGAGGUACCCUGAGGAGGUUUUCAGCCAAAGUUUGGAAAUGGCAGCACCGAAGCAAACAUGGAGAACGUCUCGACAUCCAUGUACAACUGACGAUGGAUUUUGUCUGCUCGUCUUCCAAAAGCUAAGUGUUGGGGCCAGUAGUUGGGAGAAGGGGAUAAACCUUUACCUUCA